ACUCAAAUGAAUUGACGGGGGAGCGCACAACCGGUGGAGCAUGUGGUUUAAUUCGAUACAAAGCGAAAAACCUUACCCGGAUUUGACAUGUACCUGCACGGUUAUGGAAACAUAGCCUUCUUCGAGAGUGGUACACAGGUGAUGCAUGGCUGUCGUCAGCUCGUGUCGUGAGACGUCUCUUUAAGUAGAGUAACGAGCGCAACCCUUGCCGUAUGUUAUAUUUGUCAUACGGGACUGCCCCGAUUUUUAUCGGGGAGGAAGGAGAGGAUGAUGUCAAGUCAGCAUGUCCCUUACAUCCGGGGCGACACACAUCCUACAAUGGAGCCGACAACAGGUAGCAAUGGGGUAACCCUGAGCCAAUCCUUAAACGGCCCCUCAGUUCGGAUUGAGGGCUGCAACUCGCCCUCAUGAAGCCGGAAUCGGUAGUAAUCGCAAAUCAUCAGGUUGCGGUGAAUUCGUUCUCGCUCCUUGUACACACCGCCCGU
Molecule: ribosomal RNA, 485 nt
Filed under: uncultured bacterium
Lineage: Bacteria
Description: partial 16S ribosomal RNA
Rfam family: Bacterial small subunit ribosomal RNA
Source: RNAcentral